ACACCGGCAGCUCAAGUGGUAGCCGCUUUUAUUGGGCCUAAAGCGUCCGUAGCCGGUCUGAUAAGUCUCUGGUGAAAUCCCGCAGCUUAACUGUGGGAAUUGCUGGAGAUCCUAUCAUGACUCGAGGUCGGGAGAGGCUGGAGGUACUCCCAGGGUAGGGGUGAAAUCCUGUAAUCCUGGGAGGAACACCUGUGGGGAAGGCGUCCAGCUGGAACGAACCUGACGGUGAGGGACGAAAGCCAGGGGCGCGAACCGGAUUAGAUACCCGGGUAGUCCUGGCCGUAAACGAUGUGGACUUGGUGUUGGGAUGGCUUCGAGCUGCCCCAGUGCCGAAGGGAAGCUGUUAAGUCCACCGCCUGGGAAGUACGGCCGCAAGGCUGAAACUCAAAGGAAUUGGCGGG
Molecule: ribosomal RNA, 401 nt
Filed under: uncultured bacterium
Lineage: Bacteria
Description: partial 16S ribosomal RNA
Rfam family: Archaeal small subunit ribosomal RNA
Source: RNAcentral